UGCUACUGAUUGGCUCAAGUAGUAUGACC
Molecule: non-coding RNA, 29 nt
Filed under: Rattus norvegicus (Norway rat)
Lineage: Eukaryota; Metazoa; Chordata; Mammalia; Rodentia; Muridae
Source: RNAcentral